Molecule: ribosomal RNA, 521 nt
Filed under: uncultured archaeon
Lineage: Archaea
Description: bacterial SSU rRNA
Rfam family: Archaeal small subunit ribosomal RNA
Source: RNAcentral
ACGGGGUGCAGCAGGCGCGAAACCUCCACAAUUCACGCAAGUGAGAUGGGGUUACCUCGAGUGCUAUCUGAAGAAGGUGGCUUUUCCAUGGUGUAAUGAGCCGUGGGAAUAAGGGGGGGGCAAGACUGGUGUCAGCCGCCGCGGUAACACCAGCCCCCCGAGUGGUGGGGAUGAUUAUUUGGCCUAAAGCGUCCGUAGCCAGCUCGGUAAAUCUCUCGUUAAAUCCAGCGUCCUAAGCGUUGGGCUGCGAGGGGAACUGCCGAACUAGAGGGUGGGAGAGGUCAGCGGUAUUCCUGGGGUAGGGGCGAAAUCCAUUGAUCCCAGGAGGACCACCAGUGGCGAAGGCUGCUGACUAGAACACGCCUGACGGUGAGGGACGAAAGCUGGGGUAGCGAAUCGGAUUAGAUACCCGAGUAGUCCCAGCCGUAAACGAUGCAGGCUAGGUGUUGGGUCGGCCAUGCGCCGCCUCAGUGCCACAGGGAAGCCAUUAAGCCUGCCGCCUGGGAGUACGGCCGCAAGGC